ACAUCCAGAGAAUUUAGCAGAGAUGCUUUAGUGCCUUCGGGAACUCUGAGACAGGUGCUGCAUGGCUGUCGUCAGCUCGUGUUGUGAAAUGUUGGGUUAAGUCCCGCAACGAGCGCAACCCUUUAUCCUUUGUUGCCAGCACGUAAUGGUGGGAACUCAAAGGAGACUGCCGGUGAUAAACCGGAGGAAGGUGGGGAUGACGUCAAGUCAUCAUGGCCCUUACGAGUAGGGCUACACACGUGCUACAAUGGCGCAUACAAAGAGAAGCGACCUCGCGAGAGCAAGCGGACCUCAUAAAGUGCGUCGUAGUCCGGAUUGGAGUCUGCAACUCGACUCCAUGAAGUCGGAAUCGCUAGUAAUCGUAAAUCAGAAUGUUACGGUGAAUACGUUCCCGGGCCUUGUACACACCGCCCGUCACACCAUGGGAGUGGGUUGCAAAAGAAGUAGAUAGCUUAACCUUCGGGAGGGCGUUUACCACUUUGUGAUUCAUGACUGGGGUGAAGUCGUAACAAGGUAGGCGUAGUGCU
RNAcentral lists this ribosomal RNA (527 nucleotides) under uncultured bacterium. Its description in RNAcentral is "bacterial SSU rRNA". It matches the Rfam family "Bacterial small subunit ribosomal RNA", at positions 984 to 1509 of the family's 1533-position model. The record is from RNAcentral.